GUUUCAACUCUAACCCUGUUCCUGUAGAGCUACCCUCCUGUAGGUUUCAACUCUAACCCUGUUCCUGGAGAGCUACCCUCCUGUAGGUUUCAACUCUAACCCUGUUCCUGUAGAGCUACCCUCCUGUAGGUUUCAACUCUAACCCUGUUCCUGGAGAGCUACCCUCCUGUAGGUUUCAACUCUAACCCUGUUCCUGUAGAGCUACCCUCCUGUAGGUUUCAACUCUAACCCUGUUCCUGGAGAGCUACCCUCCUGUAGGUUUUAACUCCAACCCUGUUCCUGGAGAGCUACCCUCCUGUAGGUUUUAACUCCAACCCUGUUCCUGGAGAGCUACCCUCCUGUAGGUUUUAACUCCAACCCUGUUCCUGGAGAGCUACCCUCCUGUAGGUUUUAACUCCAACCCUGUUCCUGGAGAGCUACCCUCCUGUAGGUUUUAACUCCAACCCUAAUCUAGUGCAUCUGAAUAAAAAAAUAGCUUGUUGAUAAGCUGAAUCAGUUUAUUUACAACUGGGGUUAUCCAGAGAGUCAGUCUUACAUGAGCAAUUAGGGUUAAGUGCUUUCUCAAUGAAUUUUUUUCUAUAAUCACCAAGUUUGCUUUGGGAUUCAAACCAUCGACCUUUCAGUUACUGACCCAAUGUUCUUAACCGCUAGGCUACCUGCCGAUGUUUAACGUUUGUAAUGCUUUAACGUUUGUAAU
Long non-coding RNA from Oncorhynchus keta (chum salmon), 697 nucleotides. RefSeq lists it as uncharacterized. The transcript has 4 exons. Lineage: Eukaryota; Metazoa; Chordata; Actinopteri; Salmoniformes; Salmonidae. The record is from RefSeq and is a predicted model, not a curated record.